UCUGUGGGGACACAGGCAGAGAGCGUGAGCCGGGAAUGGAAAGACCGGUACAAGCGAGGUAGGAGAAGAGUUGGCAAAUCCGCUCUUUAAUCUGAAGACGUGAUGUGGACUGAAAAUAAGUAGGGAAGCACGUGAGCUGACUGUCAAGAAAAGCCGCUAUUGUUUGCAGGAUACCCGUACCGUAAACCGACACAGGUGGAUGAGGAGAGAAUCCUAAGGCCGACGGGAGAAGCAUUGUUAAGGAACUCGGCAAAAUGACUCCGUAACUUCGGGAGAAGGAGUGCCAGUAAGAUGGCCGCAGAGAAUUGGCCCAAGCAACUGUUUAGCAAAAACACAGGUCUAUGCAAAACCGAAAGGUGAGGUAUAUGGGCUGACGCCUGCCCGGUGCUGGAAGGUUAAGGGGAGAGGUUAGCGCAAGCGAAGCUUUGAACUUAAGCCCCAGUAAACGGCGGCCGUAACGAUAACGGUCCUAAGGUAGCGAAAUUCCUUGUCGGGUAAGUUCCGACCCGCACGAAAGGCGUAAUGAUUUGGGCACUGUCUCAACAAUGCACCCGGUGAAAUUGAAAUACCAGUGAAGAUGCUGGUUACCUGCGCCAGGACGGAAAGACCCCAUGGAGCUUUACUCCAGCUUGAUACUGGGAUUCGGUAUUGCAUGUACAGGAUAGGUGGGAGGCUAGGAAAUGGUAACGCCAGUUGCCAUGGAGCCAAUGUUGGGAUACCACCCUUGCAGUACUGGGUUUCUAACCAGCAGCCGUGAUCCGGCUGGGGGACAAUGUCAGGUGGGGAGUUUGACUGGGGCGGUCGCCUCCGAAAGGGUAUCGGAGGCGCUCAAAGGUUCCCUCAGAAUGGUUGGAAACCAUUCGAAGAGUGCAAAGGCAGAAGGGAGCUUGACUGCGACACCGACGGGUGGAGCAGGUACGAAAGUAGGACUUAGUGAUCCGGUGGUAUAAAGUGGGAUUGCCAUCGCUCAACGGAUAAAAGCUACCCUGGGAUAACAGGCUUAUCACUCCCAAGAGUUCACAUCGACGGAGUGGUUUGGCACCUCGAUGUCGGCUCAUCGCAUCCUGGGGCUGAAGUAGGUCCCAAGGGUUGGGCUGUUCGCCCAUUAAAGCGGUACGCGAGCUGGGUUCAGAACGUCGUGAGACAGUUCGGUCCCUAUCCGGCGUGGGCGUAAGAUAUUUGAGAGGAGCUGUCCUUAGUACGAGAGGACCGGGAUGGACUGGCCGCUGGUGUAUCUGUUGUCUUACCAAAGGCAUAGCAGAGUAGCCAAGCCGGGAAGGGAUAAACGCUGAAGGCAUCUAAGCGUGAAGCCCCCCUCAAGAUGAGAUAUCUCAUAACGUCAAGUUAGUAAGACCCCUUGAAGACGACGAGGUAGAUAGGGCAGAGGUGGAAGUGUGGUAACACAUGGAGCUGACUGUUACUAAUAGGUCGAGGGCAUAAC
Molecule: ribosomal RNA, 1441 nt
Filed under: metagenome
Description: bacterial LSU rRNA
Rfam family: Bacterial large subunit ribosomal RNA
Source: RNAcentral